GCCAGGCGCCAUGCGCACGCCUGUAAUCCAGCAACCUGGGAGGCUGAGGCAGGAGGAUCGUGAGUUCAAAGCCAGCUUCAGCAUCUUAGUGAGGCCCUAAGCAACUCAGCAAGAUCCUGCCUCUA
RNAcentral lists this small RNA (125 nucleotides) under Marmota monax (woodchuck). The record is from RNAcentral. Lineage: Eukaryota; Metazoa; Chordata; Mammalia; Rodentia; Sciuridae.